Molecule: non-coding RNA, 416 nt
Organism: Pelobates cultripes (western spadefoot toad)
Lineage: Eukaryota; Metazoa; Chordata; Amphibia; Anura; Pelobatidae
Source: the annotation of a GenBank genome assembly
CUGGACGUGGCAGAAUUGGAUGGACAAUUAGUAUAUCAGUUUAUGAAAUGGGGGGGGGGGGUAAAACUAAUGGAUGCCUGACAUAAAGGUGUGGAGUGGUGCCAGUACAAUGGACACAGCUAGUAUUUGGCAUAUUUUGAGUGGCGGUCGUAUUUGGGAACACAGCCCAGUAGAAGAUACUCCUCUCUAGGAGUAGUGGGAGACAUACCUGUGAGAGCGUGUUCUGACUGUGCAUGUCAUGCUUUGGUAAGCCAAGCUAGGAGUCAGAAUGACAAACCUCAAUAAUGGUGGGCGAGUGAAUGUUUGCUGAUGCAGGGUCACUCUGUGCCCUCCUUUCCUUGUAAGAUAGUGAUAGAUCCAUACCUCCCGAGCAUCUCUAUUUAGGAAAGACAGUUCCUAUUUUGGGCUUAUAUCCC